CAUGCGCAGCUCUGCUCUCCCAGCCACGCCCUCCUGUGAGCUGGGAAGCAAGUGGCGUGUUGGCCGAAGGUGGGGUUAAUUUAGGAUCAAAGUUGCCUCUCCGUUUGCCCCCCGUGGUUCAGGAGGGCUUGGUAGCAUUUUGUGAGGCGCAGGUUUGAUGAGAGCCGCUUCGCUUCUCAUGAGGAGGGCGGUUGGUCGCCCUCUGCCCGCUGCUCCCUGCUCGCUGUCCCCAAGGAGACGCGUGGGUGUCAAGGUUGACUCUGCUCCGCGGCUUUCACCCAUGUCCCUCCGGACUGCAGAGCAGUCUGUGUUAUUUCCUCUCCGUGAUCGUGCCAUUUUCCAAAAUCGAGGGCUGCAGUUACUCUGAGGUGGGCACAUAACUUCUGGUGAACACGAUCUGGGCAGCUAAAUUCAAGGCUGUGUCGUAUGAAUAUUGAAAUCGUCACUACAAGUGACACAAAUCACUGUCACCACGGUGGCCUGGUGAAUUGGGAUGAAGAUCUGCCACUUGUCCAAGCUGCUGAAUCCCGUAGCACACCUUCCUUCGCCGAGCCAUCCUUUUGAUCAGGGAAGUGGCUCAUCUGUACACUUAAACAAAAUACCCAGCUGCCUCAGGUUUUGGCUGUUUCCAAUGAAGCUGGAGUGCACAUUAGUGAACACCUCUGAUAUGGACAAAAGCACCCAUUUCUUUUAAGAAGAGAUAAUUCCUUGCUGAGAGCUUUCUAAAACUCAGCAGUGGAUCCUGGACUUGGUGCAAGGCUCCUUUUGAAUCCAAUGAGAUGGUCAUGUGACUUUUCUCCUUCACUUUGUUAAUAUGGUGAAUGACAUCAACUGAUUUUUAUAAAUUGCUGUUGUGCUAACCUUGCAUUUCUGGAAUAAAUCCCACU
Molecule: long non-coding RNA, 887 nt
Organism: Heterocephalus glaber (naked mole-rat)
Lineage: Eukaryota; Metazoa; Chordata; Mammalia; Rodentia; Bathyergidae
Source: RefSeq, a predicted model, not a curated record